This 1360-nucleotide ribosomal RNA is filed under the name uncultured bacterium. RNAcentral describes it as "bacterial SSU rRNA". It matches the Rfam family "Bacterial small subunit ribosomal RNA", at positions 28 to 1381 of the family's 1533-position model. The record is from RNAcentral.
GAUGAACGCUAGCGGCAGGCCUAAUACAUGCAAGUCGGACGGGAUCCAGGGGGUAGCUUGCUACCUUCUGGUGAGAGUGGCGCACGGGUGCGUAACGCGUGAGCAACCUACCCAUAUCAGGGGGAUAGCCCGGAGAAAUCCGGAUUAACACCGCAUGACACAGCAACCCCGCAUGGGGACACUGUUAAAUAUUCAUAGGAUAUGGAUGGGCUCGCGUGACAUUAGCUAGUUGGUGGGGUAACGGCCCACCAAGGCGACGAUGUCUAGGGGCUCUGAGAGGAGAAUCCCCCACACUGGUACUGAGACACGGAUCAGACUCCUACGGGAGGCAGCAGUAAGGAAUAUUGGUCAAUGGGGGCAACCCUGAACCAGCCAUGCCGCGUGCAGGAUGACUGCCCUAUGGGUUGUAAACUGCUUUUGUCGGGGAAUAAACCCCACUACGUGUAGUGGGCUGAAUGUACCCGAAGAAUAAGGAUCGGCUAACUCCGUGCCAGCAGCCGCGGUAAUACGGAGGAUCCGAGCGUUAUCCGGAAUCAUUGGGUUUAAAGGGUCCGUAGGCGGUCUUAUAAGUCAGUGGUGAAAUCCGGCAGCUCAACUGUCGAACUGCCAUUGAUACUGUAAGACUUGAAUUACUGUGAAGUAACUAGAAUAUGUAGUGUAGCGGUGAAAUGCUUAGAUAUUACAUGGAAUACCAAUUGCGAAGGCAGGUUACUAACAUUAUAUUGACGCUGAUGGACGAAAGCGUGGGUAGCGAACAGGAUUAGAUACCCUGGUAGUCCACGCCCUAAACGAUGAUAACUCGAUGUUGGCGAUACACAGUCAGCGUCUUAGCGAAAGCGUUAAGUUAUCCACCUGGGGAGUACGCCCGCAAGGGUGAAACUCAAAGGAAUUGACGGGGGCCCGCACAAGCGGAGGAGCAUGUGGUUUAAUUCGAUGAUACGCGAGGAACCUUACCCGGGCUUGAAAGUUACUGAAUUAUCUAGAGAUAGAUAAGUCCUUCGGGACAGGAAACUAGGUGCUGCAUGGUUGUCGUCAGCUCGUGCCGUGAGGUGUUGGGUUAAGUCCCGCAACGAGCGCAACCCCUAUGUUUAGUUGCCAGCAUGUAAUGAUGGGGACUCUAAACAGACUGCCAGCGUAAGCUGUGAGGAAGGUGGGGACGACGUCAAGUCAUCAUGGCCCUUACGUCCGGGGCUACACACGUGCUACAAUGGAUGGUACAGCGGGCAGCUACCUGGUAACAGGAUGCUAAUCUCGAAAAGCCAUUCACAGUUCGGAUUGAGGUCUGCAACUCGACCUCAUGAAGUUGGAUUCGCUAGUAAUCGCGUAUCAGCAAUGACGCGGUGAAUACGUUCCCGGGCCU